RNAcentral lists this transfer RNA (76 nucleotides) under Acidobacteria bacterium 13_2_20CM_2_57_6. RNAcentral's name for it is "tRNA-Arg". The stretch from base 3 to 69 matches the Rfam family "tRNA". From Rfam's summary of the family: Transfer RNA (tRNA) molecules are approximately 80 nucleotides in length. Their secondary structure includes four short double-helical elements and three loops (D, anti-codon, and T loops). The record is from RNAcentral. Lineage: Bacteria; Pseudomonadati; Acidobacteriota.
CGCCCGUAGCUCAGUUGGAUAGAGCGUCUGCCUUCUAAGCAGAGGGUCGGGAGUUGACUGCCCACCGGGACAAGCA